AGAAGUUUGAGCAAGAUGGAGGCCCGCAGACAGCUUCCCUUCAGAUUGGUCACAAGACUACCAAGGAUGAAUACACUUCAAAGGAAUGCAAAAAGUCAGUGAGGAGUACCGGGUUCCCAUUACCACUCCACUUUGAUUUGAAGAGGUUUCACCUAAGACUGUUCCUGUAUGAAUUUCAGAAAAAAAAAAGAUGAAAAGAAGAUAAAAGUAAUAUUCCUACCAUUACUACGAUGACUACUACUACUAAAUUACUACUACUACUGUUACUGCUUCCAAGGCAAUAAAAGAUUUCAAAAUAGAGACACCUAGAGGAAGAAAUUAAAACUGUGUGAGUUGAAGAGAAUGUGUGAUAACUUUGAUGUCCUCUCUACUACUGGAGUUUGACCAAGGACCCUUUCAUUGAGUCUCAAGAAAAUAAAUAUUCCUGUUAAAUUGCAAAAAAAAGUCAUUUUAUGCACACC
This is a non-coding RNA of Monodelphis domestica (gray short-tailed opossum), 461 nucleotides long. The record is from RefSeq and is a predicted model, not a curated record. NCBI's taxonomy places the organism in Eukaryota, Metazoa, Chordata, Mammalia, Didelphimorphia, Didelphidae.